UACGAAGGUCCCAAGCGUUAUCCGGAUUUCUUGGGUUUAAAGGGUGCGUAGGCGGGCUAUUAAGUCAGUGGUGAAAGCCCCAAGCUUAACUUGGGAACUGCCAUUGAUACUGAUGGUCUUGAGUACAUUUGAGGUGGGCGGAAUGUGUCAUGUAGCGGUGAAAUGCUUAGAUAUGACACAGAACACCGAUUGCGAAGGCAGCUCACUAAACUGUAACUGACGCUGAGGCACGAAAGCGUGGGGAGCAAACAGG
This 253-nucleotide ribosomal RNA is filed under the name uncultured bacterium. RNAcentral's name for it is "partial 16S ribosomal RNA". It matches the Rfam family "Bacterial small subunit ribosomal RNA", at positions 524 to 776 of the family's 1533-position model. The record is from RNAcentral.